GUCUAUGACCAUACCACCCUGAAUGCACCCAAUUCAUCUGAUCUUGGAAGCUAAGCAGUAUUGGGCUGGUAAGUACUUGGAUAGGAGAAUAGGCCAAAAAUAUAAAGAAAAGUAGAUU
Ribosomal RNA from Vulpes vulpes (red fox), 118 nucleotides. The record is from Ensembl. NCBI's taxonomy places the organism in Eukaryota, Metazoa, Chordata, Mammalia, Carnivora, Canidae.